UGCGUAACGCGUAUGCAACCUACCUUUAACAGAGAGAUAGCCCUGAGAAAUUGGGAUUAAUAUCACAUAAUAUCAUAAUACAACCUUGUAUAAUGAUUAAAGCUCCGGCGGUUAAAGAUGGGCAUGCGUGACAUUAGCUAGUUGGUAAGGUAACGGCUUACCAAGGCGAUGAUGUCUAGGGGUUCUGAGAGGAUUAUCCCCCACACUGGUACUGAGACACGGACCAGACUCC
Molecule: ribosomal RNA, 232 nt
Filed under: uncultured bacterium
Lineage: Bacteria
Description: partial 16S ribosomal RNA
Rfam family: Bacterial small subunit ribosomal RNA
Source: RNAcentral